Non-coding RNA from Camelina sativa (false flax), 536 nucleotides. The record is from RefSeq and is a predicted model, not a curated record. NCBI's taxonomy places the organism in Eukaryota, Viridiplantae, Streptophyta, Magnoliopsida, Brassicales, Brassicaceae.
UCAUCACCAAAAAAACGAACCUAGAGUCUCCAACUGUGAUCAGCUACCCAAGUAAGAGGAUAGCUCUGUAUUCUAAAACCUCAAUCAUAUUCCGGUCAGACUCAAACAAUGCGGAUCUCGAGGGAAACACAUGCACUGGACUUUACGACAGUGUGAUAAUAAUAUGAAGCGGAGGAAGUGGUGGUGUAUUACUCAAGGGAGCCACUUAUAGUGGACAAAGCCUUUCAAAUGCGCCUGUUCUCAACAAUUGCAGAAGCUGGAAAUGUGAUAGAGACGCUCUAUGGUUCUCCUCAAGACAUCGAAGGUGUUGUUAAAGGUGGCCAUUUUUACAUCGUCCAAGCUAGACCCCAAGUUUAAGCUAUCUCUUGCUAUUUCUGCGUCCCAUUCCCUAAGUUUUCAAACUAAUUACACUCAUGAUACAAACAUUGACUCAUAAUAAAUCAAUAUGUUGAAAAAUCACGAUUGUAUGGGGUUGUAUGUAACGUAAUCUUUAAAACAGCAUCGUAUAAAAGAGUAAUCAAAGAUUUUUCUUUUGA